Molecule: long non-coding RNA, 236 nt
Filed under: Elaeis guineensis (African oil palm)
Lineage: Eukaryota; Viridiplantae; Streptophyta; Magnoliopsida; Arecales; Arecaceae
Description: long non-coding RNA (EGUI_LNC029028)
Source: RNAcentral
GAAUCAUCCUAUCUUGCCCACCACCGGCUUUACCCCAUAAAAUAAUAAAGAUAUUUAAAGCAAGGAAAAGUCGUUGGAUACCGCUCGAGGACAGGGAAUAUGCUUAUAUCCUGCGGAAUGGUUUACAUUUAGGUCCCCUUCCAUGGACUCUUUUCUUUAUUUUAUUUCCCAACUUCCUCUCUGAUUGUUUUAAGUAACGGACAUCACGAUUAUAACGGCUACUGUACAACCCAUAG